Long non-coding RNA from Equus caballus (horse), 1305 nucleotides. RefSeq lists it as uncharacterized. The record is from RefSeq and is a predicted model, not a curated record. Lineage: Eukaryota; Metazoa; Chordata; Mammalia; Perissodactyla; Equidae.
CCCGCCCCCUUGUUGCAGGUUGGACAUGUGACCCCAGGUGGGCCACGGUGAUUGGUCUAGGGACGGGACCGGGUCUGGGAUCUAAGCCCAGCCAAUCAGAACCCUUCCUUGGGCUUCCCUUCGUGGAAGAUCCUUUGCCAUCUGCUUGUGCAGCCCAGAGUCCCGGCCUGUCCCACACCACAACAAAGUAUGUGGGGUAGAAGUAUAAACCCAGAGAGGGAGGGAUAAGAACCAGCGAGUCUCAGCUUCGUUCACACCCUGGACGCUGUCAUCGCAAAGGCAGCUCCCUCCGCCUUCCCUGGUUUGGUUGUAUCCCGUCAGUUUGCACGGAUCCCGACUGACAAAAGCCCACGACCCUCAACGGGGGAAGCCCAAACCCAGUGGGGAAGGGAUCGUGGGGAAGACUAGAGUCCCACCUCUGCCACCUGCUAUGUGGUCUCAAGAGACUGACCUCCACUCUCCGCUCUACCCUGGAAGAAGUCCUGUGUGACCCUCAUCAGCAGCUCUCUUGCCCUCUGGCUCCCGGGGCCUCCAGCCAAUGGGGCCUCAGCAGGAUGCAGGGUGGGCAGGAGAGUGAAGUCAGGAUGCUGAUUUCCCUGUAGGGUCCCCACAGACUGGCUGCAUCCCUCCAGCGAAGGUCACCGCUCCUUCAGGCGCCCUCCCUGCCCCCACCCCUCUGUCUGCCCAUGGCUCCCCCAACCCCGUCCACGCAGGGGUGGCAGUGGCGCCCGACGGUGCUGGCCCAGAAUCCUGCGCUCUGUCAGGAGGCUUUCCCCACACUUUGUAAAUAUUCCCUGUUUAAGCUCUCCUCAAAUUACCCAAUUGGAGUGUGCGUCAUCUAUUUUUCACGGGGUUCCCGAAUGGCUGAUGGUCCUUUUCCUGGUCUCCCCAGGUCCUCAUCAGACAAAUCCUACUCUGCAGAGGACACUGGUCCAGGGUCCCAACUCUGGACACUGUCCCCAUUUCCCUCCAAACUUUGGAACUCCAGCUAGCCUCUCCAAAAUCUGUCCAAUCUCAAACCCCAGGAAAAGGCCCCUGAUGAGAAGAAGUGGCUGUUGGCCUCCAACAGACAGCGGCCCUAACAGGAGGCAGGCAGGGUCACGCCUGGGCUCAGGAAGUGUCUGGGGCAGCAAACCACCAAUUUCUGUACACCAGAGAAGGUACCUGAGAGCGUAUAUUUAUAGAAAGAUACACAGAAACAGACAGAUGGCAUCCGGCUAUAGAUACAGAGAGCUCUGCUGGAGAACCACGUCGGGAUGCAUAUAUUUGCCAACAGUAGAACACGAGGUUUCCGCAUCUUCGGUC